RNAcentral lists this long non-coding RNA (272 nucleotides) under Ananas comosus (pineapple). RNAcentral describes it as "long non-coding RNA (ACOM_LNC039821)". Lineage: Eukaryota; Viridiplantae; Streptophyta; Magnoliopsida; Poales; Bromeliaceae. The record is from RNAcentral.
UUGAUUAUCCAUCAAUCCAAUAAAGGUGGAUUCCUGAUUAACUAUUCAGCAUUAUAUCCCAAUACCAUAGUAUCAUAUUUCAUUCUGCCACUGGGCGAGAAUCCCAAUUCACAUUAAUGGAUGCUGCUCCACAUCAAUACUUAUGUUCAGAUAAAUUCCAUUAAUGCUGUCUCUACAGCUUUACUGCUUUCCUUUACACCAAUCAUAAAGUAAAGCAUGACCAUUUCAUCACUGAAAAAAAAAUUUUUUUUUUUUUUCUCAUAUACUCAAAU